CACGCCGUAAACGAUGGAUACUAGGUAUAGGGAGAUAAUCUCUCUGUGCCGCAGCUAACGUAUUAAGUAUCCCACCUGGGGAGUACGGCCGCAAGGCUGAAACUCAAAGGAAUUGACGGGGACCCGCACAAGCAGUGGAGUAUGUGGUUUAAUUCGAAGCAACGCGAAGAACCUUACCAAGGCUUGACAUAAUACUGAAUAGGAUAGAGAUAUUCUAGACCUUCGGGACAGUAUUACAGGUGG
This 243-nucleotide ribosomal RNA is filed under the name uncultured Oscillospiraceae bacterium. Its description in RNAcentral is "partial 16S ribosomal RNA". It matches the Rfam family "Bacterial small subunit ribosomal RNA", at positions 796 to 1041 of the family's 1533-position model. The record is from RNAcentral. Lineage: Bacteria; Bacillati; Bacillota; Clostridia; Eubacteriales; Oscillospiraceae.